Molecule: ribosomal RNA, 253 nt
Filed under: uncultured bacterium
Lineage: Bacteria
Description: partial 16S ribosomal RNA
Rfam family: Bacterial small subunit ribosomal RNA
Source: RNAcentral
UACGUAGGGGGCUAGCGUUGUUCGGAAUUACUGGGCGUAAAGGGCUCGUAGGUGGCCAACUAAGUCAGACGUGAAAUCCCUCGGCUUAACCGGGGAACUGCGUCUGAUACUGGAUGGCUUGAGUUUGGGAGAGGGACGCGGAAUUCCAGGUGUAGCGGUGAAAUGCGUAGAUAUCUGGAGGAACACCGGUGGCGAAGGCGGCGUCCUGGACCAACACUGACACUGAUGAGCGAAAGCCAGGGGAGCAAACGGG